Molecule: ribosomal RNA, 498 nt
Filed under: uncultured bacterium
Lineage: Bacteria
Description: partial 16S ribosomal RNA
Rfam family: Bacterial small subunit ribosomal RNA
Source: RNAcentral
AUUGAACGCUGGCGGCAUGCCUUACACAUGCAAGUCGAACGGUAACAGGUCUUCGGAUGCUGACGAGUGGCGAACGGGUGAGUAAUACAUCGGAACGUGCCUAGUAGUGGGGGAUAACUACUCGAAAGAGUGGCUAAUACCGCAUGAGAUCUACGGAUGAAAGCAGGGGAUCGCAAGACCUUGUGCUACUAGAGCGGCCGAUCGCCGAUUAGGUAGUUGGUGGGAUAAAAGCUUACCAAGCCGACGAUCUGUAGUUGGUCUGAGAGGACGAUCAGCCAGACUGGGACUGAGACACGGCCCAGACUCGUACGGGAGGCAGCAGUGGGGAAUUUUGGACAAUGGGCGAAAGCCUGAUCCAGCAAUGCCGCGUGCAGGAUGAAGGCCUUCGGGUUGUAAACUGCUUUUGUACGGAACGAAAAGCCCCGGGUUAAUACCCUGGGGUCAUGACGGUACCGUAAGAAUAAGCACCGGCUAACUACGUGCCAGCAGCCGCAGUAA